UGAAACCUUGUCUGAAUAUGGGGGGACCAUCCUCCAAGGCUAAAUACUCCUGACUGACCGAUAGUGAACCAGUACCGUGAGGGAAAGGCGAAAAGAACCCCUGUGAGGGGAGUGAAAUAGAUCCUGAAACCGCAUGCAUACAAGCAGUGGGAGCACCUUCGUGGUGUGACUGCGUACCUUUUGUAUAAUGGGUCAGCGACUUAUAUUCAGUAGCGAGGUUAACCGUAUAGGGGAGCCGUAGAGAAAUCGAGUCUUAAUAGGGCGUUUAGUUGCUGGGUAUAGACCCGAAACCAGGCGAUCUAUCCAUGAGCAGGUUGAAGGUUGGGUAACACUAACUGGAGGACCGAACCCACUGUCGUUGAAAAGCCAGGGGAUGACUUGUGGAUAGGGGUGAAAGGCUAAUCAAGCCUGGUGAUAGCUGGUUCUCCCCGAAAGCUAUUUAGGUAGCGCCUCGGACGAAUACCAUAGGGGGUAGAGCACUGUUUCGGCUAGGGGGUCAUCCCGACUUACCAAACCGAUGCAAACUCCGAAUACCUAUGAGUACUAUCCGGGAGACAGACUGCGGGUGCUAACGUCCGUAGUCAAGAGGAAAACAAUCCAGACCGCCAGCUAAGGCCCCAAAAUCAUAGUUAAGUGGGAAACGAUGUGGGAAGGCAUAGACAGCUAGGAGGUUGGCUUAGAAGCAGCCACCCUUUAAAGAAAGCGUAAUAGCUCACUAGUCGAGUCGGCCUGCGCGGAAGAUGUAACGGGGCUAAAA
This 757-nucleotide ribosomal RNA is filed under the name Acinetobacter baumannii. RNAcentral describes it as "partial 23S ribosomal RNA". It matches the Rfam family "Bacterial large subunit ribosomal RNA", at positions 427 to 1186 of the family's 2925-position model. The record is from RNAcentral. Lineage: Bacteria; Pseudomonadati; Pseudomonadota; Gammaproteobacteria; Moraxellales; Moraxellaceae.